CCUACGGGAGGCAGCAGUGAGGAAUAUUGGUCAAUGGGCGGGAGCCUGAACCAGCCAAGUCGCGUGAGGGAUGACGGCCCUAUGGGUUGUAAACCUCUUUUGCCGGGGAGCAAAGUGCCGCACGUGUGCGGUUUGGAGAGUACCCGGAGAAAAAGCCUUGGCUAACCCCGUGCCAGCAGCCGCGGUAAUACGGAGGAUGCGAGCGUUAUCCGGAUUUAUUGGGUUUAAAGGGUGCGUAGGCGGACGCUUAAGUCAGCGGUAAAAUUGCGGGGCUCAACCUCGUCGAGCCGUUGAAACUGGGUGCCUUGAGUGGGCGAGAAGUACGCGGAAUGCGUGGUGUAGCGGUGAAAUGCAUAGAUAUUAGGAAGAACACCAGUGGCGAAGGCGGCUUUCUGGACUGAGACUGACGCUGAGGCUCGAAAGCGUGGGGAGCGAACAGGAUUAGAUACCCUAGUAGUC
This 459-nucleotide ribosomal RNA is filed under the name uncultured bacterium. RNAcentral describes it as "partial 16S ribosomal RNA". It matches the Rfam family "Bacterial small subunit ribosomal RNA", at positions 338 to 795 of the family's 1533-position model. The record is from RNAcentral.